Molecule: ribosomal RNA, 265 nt
Filed under: uncultured archaeon
Lineage: Archaea
Description: partial 16S ribosomal RNA
Rfam family: Archaeal small subunit ribosomal RNA
Source: RNAcentral
AGUCACUGACAUUAGAUACCCGUGUAGUCCAGGGUGUUAAACGCUGCAGACUUGGUGUUGGGGGCCCUUUGGGGGCAUUCAGUGCCGGAGAGAAGUUGUUAAGUCUGCUACUUGGGAGUACGUCCGCAAGGAUGAAACUUAAAGGAAUUGGCGGGGGAGCACCGCAACGGGAGGAGCGUGCGGUUUAAUUGGAUCCAACACCGUAAAACUCACCAGGGAAGACUGUUACAUGAAGGCCGAGAUGAAGACUCUGCUAGAUUUUCAG